Molecule: ribosomal RNA, 329 nt
Filed under: uncultured Clostridium sp.
Lineage: Bacteria; Bacillati; Bacillota; Clostridia; Eubacteriales; Clostridiaceae
Description: bacterial SSU rRNA
Rfam family: Bacterial small subunit ribosomal RNA
Source: RNAcentral
UGCGUAGGCGGUCUUUCAAGUCAGGAGUGAAAGGCUACGGCUCAACCGUAGUAAGCUCUUGAAACUGUAAGACUUGAGUGCAGGAGAGGAGAGUGGAAUUCCUAGUGUAGCGGUGAAAUGCGUAGAUAUUAGGAGGAACACCAGUUGCGAAGGCGGCUCUCUGGACUGUAACUGACGCUGAGGCACGAAAGCGUGGGGAGCAAACAGGAUUAGAUACCCUGGUAGUCCACGCCGUAAACGAUGAGUACUAGCUGUCGGAGGUUACCCCCUUCGGUGGCGCAGCUAACGCAUUAAGUACUCCGCCUGGGAAGUACGCUCGCAAGAGUGAA